Molecule: ribosomal RNA, 907 nt
Filed under: uncultured bacterium
Lineage: Bacteria
Description: bacterial SSU rRNA
Rfam family: Bacterial small subunit ribosomal RNA
Source: RNAcentral
GCAGUCGUGGGGUAGGGUAGCAAUACCUGAGACCGGCGCACGGGUGCGUAACGCGUAUGCAAUCUACCUUUUACAGAGGGAUAGCCCAGAGAAAUUUGGAUUAAUACCUCAUAGUAUGUAUGAGUGGCAUCACUUAUAUAUUAAAGUCACAACGGUAAAAGAUGAGCAUGCGUCCCAUUAGCUAGUUGGUAAGGUAACGGCUUACCAAGGCGACGAUGGGUAGGGGUCCUGAGAGGGAGAUCCCCCACACUGGUACUGAGACACGGACCAGACUCCUACGGGAGGCAGCAGUGAGGAAUAUUGGACAAUGGGCGCAAGCCUGAUCCAGCCAUGCCGCGUGCAGGAAGACGGUCCUAUGGAUUGUAAACUGCUUUUGUACGGGAAGAAACAGCAGUUCGUGAACUGCCUUGACGGUACCGUAAGAAUAAGGAUCGGCUAACUCCGUGCCAGCAGCCGCGGUAAUACGGAGGAUCCAAGCGUUAUCCGGAAUCAUUGGGUUUAAAGGGUCCGUAGGCGGUUUGGUAAGUCAGUGGUGAAAGCCCAUCGCUCAACGGUGGAACGGCCAUUGAUACUGCCAGACUUGAAUUAUUAGGAAGUAACUAGAAUAUGUAGUGUAGCGGUGAAAUGCUUAGAGAUUACAUGGAAUACCAAUUGCGAAGGCAGGUUACUACUAAUGGAUUGACGCUGAUGGACGAAAGCGUGGGUAGCGAACAGGAUUAGAUACCCUGGUAGUCCACGCCGUANACGAUGGAUACUAGCUGUUGGGAGCAAUCUCAGUGGCUAAGCGAAAGUGAUAAGUAUCCCACCUGGGGAGUACGUUCGCAAGAAUGAAACUCAAAGGAAUUGACGGGGGCCCGCACAAGCGGUGGAGCAUGUGGUUUAAUUCGAUGAUACGCGAGGAACCUUA